CCCGGAAGUCAUACGAUCAGCUCCUUGUGAACCCCCCCAGGGCAGAAAUGCAGCAAGGGUGACGAGUUGAGCGAUCGGUGUGGCUUCUUUUUUUUUU
Molecule: signal recognition particle RNA, 97 nt
Filed under: Saprospiraceae bacterium
Lineage: Bacteria; Pseudomonadati; Bacteroidota; Saprospiria; Saprospirales; Saprospiraceae
Description: signal recognition particle sRNA small type
Rfam family: Bacterial small signal recognition particle RNA
About the family: The signal recognition particle (SRP) is a universally conserved ribonucleoprotein involved in the co-translational targeting of proteins to membranes. Archaeal SRP consists of a 7S RNA and homologues of the eukaryotic SRP19 and SRP54 proteins.
Source: RNAcentral